GUGAGUUUAACACGUAGUUUUCACACACGAUGUGAGCACUUUCAUCUUCAUCUGAAAUGUCAAUCUUUGGUCUUUCCUGAAAAUGCGAAGCAUGAAGCCGCCUGGCUUUGAGAUGGUUAUAACGAUGUCUGAGAACAGAACGUUGGUGACAAAAGACAUGAAUAACACAAUACAUGGAAUAAAACCAACCAAAUUAAUUCCCUGUUCCUUGGAAAAGAACACGAACAUCAUGAUUAUUGCCGGCGUCGUUAUAGUAACAUGGAUCAUGAUAUUUCUAUUCGUGUUGAAAAACAUGGAUAAAAUGAGAAGGAAGAGAAAGAGG
This is a long non-coding RNA of Actinia tenebrosa (Australian red waratah sea anemone), 322 nucleotides long. The record is from RefSeq and is a predicted model, not a curated record. NCBI's taxonomy places the organism in Eukaryota, Metazoa, Cnidaria, Anthozoa, Actiniaria, Actiniidae.